GCCAAGGCUACCAUGCAGUCGACGAUGAACCGCUUUCGGGCGGGGAUUAGUGGCGAACGGGUGAGUAACACGUGGGCAAUCUGCCCUGCACUCUGGGACAAGCCCUGGAAACGGGGUCUAAUACCGGAUAUGACUGUCCAUCGCAUGGUGGAUGGUGUAAAGCUCCGGCGGUGCAGGAUGAGCCCGCGGCCUAUCAGCUUGUUGGUGAGGUAGUGGCUCACCAAGGCGACGACGGGUAGCCGGCCUGAGAGGGCGACCGGCCACACUGGGACUGAGACACGGCCCAGACUCCUACGGGAGGCAGCAGUGGGGAAUAUUGCACAAUGGGCGAAAGCCUGAUGCAGCGACGCCGCGUGAGGGAUGACGGCCUUCGGGUUGUAAACCUCUUUCAGCAGGGAAGAAGCGAAAGUGACGGUACCUGCAGAAGAAGCGCCGGCUAACUACGUGCCAGCAGCCGCGGGUAAUACA
Molecule: ribosomal RNA, 468 nt
Filed under: Streptomyces albidoflavus
Lineage: Bacteria; Bacillati; Actinomycetota; Actinomycetes; Kitasatosporales; Streptomycetaceae
Description: bacterial SSU rRNA
Rfam family: Bacterial small subunit ribosomal RNA
Source: RNAcentral